ACUCGGUUGUUCUGACGGUACCCAAAGAAUAAGCACCGGCUAACUUCGUGCCAGCAGCCGCGGUAAUACGAAGGGUGCAAGCGUUACUCGGAAUUACUGGGCGUAAAGCGUGCGUAGGUGGUUGUUUAAGUCUGUUGUGAAAGCCCUGGGCUCAACCUGGGAAUUGCAGUGGAUACUGGGCGACUAGAGUGUGGUAGAGGGUAGUGGAAUUCCCGGUGUAGCAGUGAAAUGCGUAGAGAUCGGGAGGAACAUCCAUGGCGAAGGCAGCUACCUGGACCAACACUGACACUGAGGCACGAAAGCGUGGGGAGCAAACAGGAUUAGAUACCUAGUAGUCCGCCUGCUCCCUCU
RNAcentral lists this ribosomal RNA (351 nucleotides) under uncultured Lysobacteraceae bacterium. Its description in RNAcentral is "bacterial SSU rRNA". It matches the Rfam family "Bacterial small subunit ribosomal RNA", at positions 458 to 810 of the family's 1533-position model. The record is from RNAcentral. Lineage: Bacteria; Pseudomonadati; Pseudomonadota; Gammaproteobacteria; Lysobacterales; Lysobacteraceae.